Molecule: long non-coding RNA, 229 nt
Organism: Clarias gariepinus (North African catfish)
Lineage: Eukaryota; Metazoa; Chordata; Actinopteri; Siluriformes; Clariidae
Exons: 3
Source: RefSeq, a predicted model, not a curated record
GUCUCUGUCCUUCCGACAGCUAUGGCGCUGCAUCCAGUGAAGGAGGAGGCGCUUCUGGUGUGGAUUAACGAGUUCCGGCUGGGUGAGCCAGUGCAGAGAGUCUCACACCUGCAGGAUGGAAACCUACUACUGAAGCUCGUGUGUAAACUAAAAGGGGAGGAGCCUAGCCAAGCUCCUGUGCACCUGCCUCAGGCAGAAAAGCUGUCGCUCGUCUCUGACUUCCUCCACA